CCCUCCCAUCAGCCCACCCACCGCAGUGGAUCUAGUGCUGCCUUAUGAAGUGGCCACAGUGCUUUAUGGCAGCGGUACUACUUCCUUAAGCCUUAGGAACCAGUGGCUGUACACUGCCCUCUCGCCGUCAAAGGAAAGAAAAUGUGUAAGCCAUCAUAAAAAAGAAAAAUCAGCUAUGGAUAUCCUUUAUUACAAAUCUGGCCUGUGACGACUGAGGAGAGAAGCAAGGACGCAAAGUAUGGAAUUACAAAGCGACCACCAGAGAGAGAGCUCACGACCCCCAAGAAAGCCCACACAUACGCCGACAAGGACAACAGAUGUCACAACGGGGAAUGGAAACUAGAUGUCACAACAGGGAAUGGAAACUAGACGUCACAACGGGGUAUAGAAACUUGGAGGGGACUAAUGAAAACUGCUGAAAAAUGCUUAUGAAUAUGUAUAAAUAUUUGCAAAACUAGCAGUUGGUGUGCGUGUUGGUAGAGCGCAGACUCCUCGUGCACGCAGCGCUGUUUGCUUGCUUUUUGCCGAACAUAAAUUAAUAAAUAAUUAACAUUUUGAUUUGAA
Long non-coding RNA from Prinia subflava (tawny-flanked prinia), 564 nucleotides. RefSeq lists it as uncharacterized. Lineage: Eukaryota; Metazoa; Chordata; Aves; Passeriformes; Cisticolidae. The transcript has 2 exons. The record is from RefSeq and is a predicted model, not a curated record.